ACUCCUACGGGAGGCAGCAGUGGGGAAUAUUGCACAAUGGGGGAAACCCUGAUGCAGCCAUGCCGCGUGUGUGAAGAAGGCCUUGGGUUGUAAAGCACUUUCAGUAGGGAGGAAGGUAGUGUAGUUAACACCUGCAUUAUUUGACGUUACCUACAGAAGAAGCACCGGCUAACUCCGUGCCAGCAGCCGCGGUAAGUACGGAGGGUGCGAGCGUUAAUCGGAAUUACGUGGGCGUAAAGCGCAUGCAGGCGGCCUGUUAAGUCAGAUGUGAAAGCCCGGGGUCUUAACCUCGGAAUUGCAUUUGAAACUGGCAGGCUAGAGUCUUGUAGAGGGGUUAGAAUUUCAGGUGUAGCGGUGAAAUGCGUAGAGAUCUGAAGGAAUACCGAGUGGCGAACGGCGGCCCCCUGGACAAAGACUGACGCUCAGAUGCGAAAGCGUGGGAGCAAACGAGGAUUAGAUACCCCGUGGUAGACUGUCA
This 478-nucleotide ribosomal RNA is filed under the name uncultured bacterium. RNAcentral's name for it is "bacterial SSU rRNA". It matches the Rfam family "Bacterial small subunit ribosomal RNA", at positions 335 to 802 of the family's 1533-position model. The record is from RNAcentral.